GACGAACGCUGGCGGCGUGCCUAACACAUGCAAGUCAACUUGACUGAAGGAGCAAUCUGACAGUAGAGUGGCGCAAGGGUGCGUAACGCGUAAGUAACUUGCCCCAAGGUAAGGAAUAACGUCGAGAAAUCGGCGCUAAUACCUCAUAAUGCAGCGGAUCCGCAUGGAUAUGUUGUUAAAGGUUUACCGCCUUGGGAUAGGCUUGCGUCUGAUUAGCUAGUUGGUGUGGUAACGGCACACCAAGGCUACGAUCAGUAACUGGUCUGAGAGGAUGAUCAGUCACACUGGAACUGAGACACGGUCCAGACUCCUACGGGAGGCAGCAGUGAGGAAUAUUGGGCAAUGCUCGAAAGAGUGACCCAGCAACGCCGCGUGGAGGAUGAAGGUAUUCUAUAUCGUAAACUCCUGUGAGAGCAGACGAAAGACAGAUUAUUAAUCUGGAUGACUGUAUG
RNAcentral lists this ribosomal RNA (452 nucleotides) under uncultured bacterium. RNAcentral's name for it is "bacterial SSU rRNA". It matches the Rfam family "Bacterial small subunit ribosomal RNA", at positions 28 to 479 of the family's 1533-position model. The record is from RNAcentral.